UACGUAGGGUGCGAGCGUUAAUCGGAAUUACUGGGCGUAAAGCGUGCGCAGGCGGUUUUGUAAGCCAGAUGUGAAAGCCCCGGGCUUAACCCGGGAAUGGCAUUGAAUACUGCUGAUCUGGAGGAUUGGAGGGGGGACUGGAAUUCUUGGUGUAGCAGUGAAAUGCGUAGAUAUCAAGAGGAACACCAGUGGCGAAGGCGAGUCCCUGGACAAUACCUGACACUGAGGCACGAAAGCUAGGGGAGCAAACAGG
RNAcentral lists this ribosomal RNA (253 nucleotides) under uncultured bacterium. Its description in RNAcentral is "partial 16S ribosomal RNA". It matches the Rfam family "Bacterial small subunit ribosomal RNA", at positions 524 to 776 of the family's 1533-position model. The record is from RNAcentral.